This 676-nucleotide long non-coding RNA is filed under the name Pavo cristatus (Indian peafowl). RNAcentral describes it as "lncRNA (ENSPSTG00000015697.1)". Lineage: Eukaryota; Metazoa; Chordata; Aves; Galliformes; Phasianidae. The record is from RNAcentral.
UUCGCUCAAGCCGCCGCUCGGCCCUACAGCCGGGGAGGGGUGGGGCGAGUCGGGCGCAUGCGUGUGCGGGGGUGGCCGCUGAGGGAGGUGGGGUCGGCCUCGGGGUGGUUGUGCAAGCGGCGGUGACGUCAUCGCGGCUCCGCUCCUCAUAGAACGUCCUAGAAGGGGCAGUGCUGCGUGCUCCUCUGGCGCGGGCUCGAGAAGGGCCUAGAAGAUGACAAAAAAAAACCCAUUUCAGAUGCUGAAUGGCCAAGUUAUCUACAUCUCCACAUUAUCUGGAUUAGAUAUGUCUGGAAUAGUGAAAGGUGCUUCUCGGGCUGAUCUGACUCACCCUUCGGUUGCAUGAUUACUGGAACUGAUGCAAGAGAGGCAAUGGAAAUGGGUACCUGAAGACAGAGAGGUCAGAUGCAUUUCUACAGCUAGAGAUCAGUCUCUGAUUAGAUUAGGCCAACCACAAGGCUGAUGCAGUUAACCAGAAGACAGAGCCUUGCCUCCCUAGGGAAAAUAACCCUUUCAGAUUCUGUUCCACUUCAUCCCUUAUACCAGAGAAGGACAUUGACCUGCUUCACCGUGUAGCUGGCUCACAACAACGUGGGUUACGUGACAACCCGUUUUUCCAGUUAAUGCUCAGCUGGGCCAACUCCCCAGCCUGGCCCUGCACGCAGCAGGCACCUUA